GGGUGAGUAACACGUAUCCAACCUGCCGUCUACUCUUGGACAGCCUUCUGAAAGGAAGAUUAAUACAAGAUGGCAUCAUGAGUCCGCAUGUUCACAUGACUAAAGGUAUUCCGGUAGACGAUGGGGAUGCGUUCCAUUAGAUAGUAGGCGGGGUAACGGCCCACCUAGUCUUCGAUGGAUAGGGGUUCUGAGAGGAAGGUCCCCCACAUUGGAACUGAGACACGGUCCAAACUCCUACGGGAGGCAGCAGUGAGGAAUAUUGGUCAAUGGGCGCAGGCCUGAACCAGCCAAGUAGCGUGAAGGAUGACUGCCCUAUGGGUUGUAAACUUCUUUUAUAAAGGAAUAAAGUCGGGUAUGUAUACCCGUUUGCAUGUACUUUAUGAAUAAGGAUCGGCUAACUCCGUGCCAGCAGCCGCGGUAAUACGGAGGAUCCGAGCGUUAUCCGGAUUUAUUGGGUUUAAAGGGAGCGUAGAUGGAUGUUUAAGUCAGUUGUGAAAGUUUGCGGCUCAACCGUAAAAUUGCAGUUGAUACUGGAUAUCUUGAGUGCAGUUGAGGCAGGCGGAAUUCGUGGUGUAGCGGUGAGAUGCUUAGAUAUCACGAAGAACUCCGAUUGCGAAGGCAGCCUGCUAAGCUGCAACUGACAUUGAGGCUCGAAAGUGUGGGUAUCAAACAGGAUUAGAUACCCUGGUAGUCCACACGGUAAACGAUGAAUACUCGCUGUUUGCGAUAUACAGCAAGCGGCCAAG
Molecule: ribosomal RNA, 746 nt
Filed under: uncultured bacterium
Lineage: Bacteria
Description: bacterial SSU rRNA
Rfam family: Bacterial small subunit ribosomal RNA
Source: RNAcentral